This 320-nucleotide ribosomal RNA is filed under the name uncultured bacterium. RNAcentral's name for it is "bacterial SSU rRNA". It matches the Rfam family "Bacterial small subunit ribosomal RNA", at positions 470 to 789 of the family's 1533-position model. The record is from RNAcentral.
UGACGGUAGCUAAGGAGAAAGCCACGGCUAACUACGUGCCAGCAGCCGCGGUAAUACGUAGGUGGCAAGCGUUGUCCGGAAUUACUGGGUGUAAAGGGAGCGCAGGCGGGAAUUCAAGUUGGAUGUGAAAUGUCGGGGCUUAACCCCGGAACUGCAUCCAAAACUGUAUUUCUUGAGUGAAGUAGAGGUAGGCGGAAUUCCGAGUGUAGCGGUGAAAUGCGUAGAUAUUAGGAGGAACACCAGUGGCGAAGGCGGCUUACUGGACGGUAACUGACGUUGAGGCUCGAAAGCGUGGGGAGCAAACAGGAUUAGAUACCCUG